This is a non-coding RNA of Aedes albopictus (Asian tiger mosquito), 75 nucleotides long. The record is from Rfam. NCBI's taxonomy places the organism in Eukaryota, Metazoa, Arthropoda, Insecta, Diptera, Culicidae.
GACUCCGUAGCUUGAAGUAAUAGAAGCGCCCGUCUAGCGAAUUGGAAGUCGUGAGUUCGAGUCUCACCGGAGUAC